This 356-nucleotide ribosomal RNA is filed under the name uncultured bacterium. Its description in RNAcentral is "partial 16S ribosomal RNA". It matches the Rfam family "Bacterial small subunit ribosomal RNA", at positions 338 to 709 of the family's 1533-position model. The record is from RNAcentral.
CCUACGGGCGGCUGCAGUGGGGAAUAUUGGGCAAUGGGCGCAAGCCUGACCCAGCAACGCCGCGUGAAGGAAGAAGGCUUUCGGGUUGUAAACUUCUUUUGUCAGGGAAGAGCAGAAGACGGUACCUGUCGAAUAAGCCACGGCUAACUACGUGCCAGCAGCCGCGGUAAUACGUAGGUGGCAAGCGGUGUCCGGAUUUACUGGGUGUAAAGGGCGUGUAGCCGGGCUGACAAGUCAGAUGUGAAAUCCGGGGGCUCAACCACCGAACUGCAGUUGAAACUGUUGUUCUUGAGUAUCGGAGAGGCAGGCGGAAUUCCUAGUGUAGCGGUGAAAGGCGUAGAUAUUAGGAGGAACAC